Cynocephalus volans (Philippine flying lemur) is the source of this 990-nucleotide long non-coding RNA. RefSeq lists it as uncharacterized. Lineage: Eukaryota; Metazoa; Chordata; Mammalia; Dermoptera; Cynocephalidae. The record is from RefSeq and is a predicted model, not a curated record. The transcript has 4 exons.
CCUGGCCAGCUGUCACCAUGAAGAAAUUCUUCCAGAUCGUCAAGGCUGACAUAGAGUUCAAGAGAGCGGGGCCCAGUCAGAAGCUCACAGACUCCGUGGGGUAACUGAGGCCAAAGAGGAAGGCUUAACCCACCUGGCUGUACCUACUCUGAGGAAGGACCAACGGGAUGCCUGCAUCAGAGAGGCCAUUCUCUUGUAACUUUCCUCCAGGGAAGAACCCAGAGGAGGGGGCCUGAGACCUCCAGGAGUGGCUGGAGAGCCAGAGGCAUGUCCUGAAACCCAAACCCAGGGAAACGGAGCACCUCCUGUGUCAUCAUCGAAUGGUGACUGUCAAUGUAAAAGAGAAGUCCCAGGACAGAAGCCAGGUGAAAGAAGGUGCGGUUGGCAUUUCCCCAAGCAUGGAUGGAUACCUGUGGCUGUGGAGCACUUCCCGCACCAGAAGACAACACAGACUCGGGGUCGGUGGGCUGCCGCCCCCAGCUGCAGAGGAGGAAAAGAGACAAGUGAAAACGUGAAGAAAAGGGUGGGUGCCAUGGGGGCAGGACCUCCCCCGCCCCUCCCAGCACUGGAUAUUGCUUUCUUUCCCAACCAUUAGAAAUGUGGUGGGUGGAAAAACUUCCUUUGUAUUUCUUUGUUUGCAAGUGAAGUUGACUUUCUCUUUAUGGGGUGUGUGUGGAGUACACUCAUUGCCACAUUUCUCUCGUGUGACCUGCCUGUUUGCAUCCUUCGUCCAUCUUUCUCAUCGGCUGGCAUGGACUCUUUGCACCCUGACUUCUGUGCUGGGCUACGCAUCCUGCAUGCCCUUUCCAUGCUGUGUCUUGCAAGGUGGUUUAUCUCUGAAAGUUUUGUGGGUAUUUGCACACUGUUGGGUGCAGGUUCACGUUUCUAUAGUUGGAGUCUAUUCUUGAAUUAACGCUGGCAAGAAAAGAUCUUGUCACCCAGGGGUGAUGAGUCUGUCUCCCUUGGCAUCUUCACCGGAUGGGCUGGGAG